Long non-coding RNA from Brassica oleracea var. oleracea, 1178 nucleotides. RefSeq lists it as uncharacterized. The record is from RefSeq and is a predicted model, not a curated record. NCBI's taxonomy places the organism in Eukaryota, Viridiplantae, Streptophyta, Magnoliopsida, Brassicales, Brassicaceae. The transcript has 7 exons.
CCCAUUGACCAAGGCUCAUCUUGCUUGUACGUGAUUUGAGUCAACAUUCACAGUCUCCACCUUUGACCUAAUCACCAACCGACGUUUGCUUUUGUUCCUCGGUUUCUCAGAUUUCUCGAUCUCACUCCACCGCGACGUUCAGCUCCAAAGCUUCCUCCUGUCUCUGUUGCACAUCUGAGUCUCUCAAUAAUUGUGUAGUCAUCCUUGCAUGUAACGCCGGUGAAUCCUCUGUUCAUUAUCACCAUCUGACCACAAGACCUGAAGAUUUGAUACUGAAGCCAAUCAAUCAAGAUAAUUACCUUUCCGCCAGACACAUGUAAGAUAACCCGAUGCCACUUCCAAUUUCGGAUAACAUCUUUUGAGACCGGAUAUAUGAUAAAUUUCUGAUUUUCAUUUAUGCAUCUCUCGAUACUUGAAGCCGACCAACAACGGCUUGUUUGAACUUCAAUUCAGUUCCUCCUGCGACAAUACACGAACGUCACUAACUGAACACGAGCUACGAUGACCUUCUCAGAAUAAGAAAUCCAAAAUCCAACAGAACUUCAAGAAUUCCAGAUUAAUGGGAGAGAUAGAGAAUGCCCACUUUAAGGUGAAUCCAAACCACACAAGAAUGAGAUUCCAAAUCAACAAAGAAUCCCCUACAGGUUUCCACAAGCUUUCAUCAGGCGAUCACCUUCAGGAACUCAAGCCCCUUCUCGAGCUUGUUUCCAGGAACCAGAUUCAAAUACAAGAACAACCUUAACUCGCCUGAGUUUCGGGUUGUGUAACGCCCUUCUCAACACAACAGAAAACUAGCUCAAGAGAUAUGAUGAACCAAAUCCGAAUAACAACUUCUACUCCUGGUUGCAGCGACUAUCUUCAGAAAACUUACUGCACCUCAAACCAAGAAAUCCCAGAAAUCCCAACUGAAGAAACAACCAGCCCAUUGACCAAGGCUCAUCUUGCUUGUAUGUGAUUUGAGUCAACAUUCACAAGUUCAAAAAAAAAACUUGUACUACAGCCGAUAUAUGCUCUACAAAUAGAGUAACAUGCAAUGAAAAUCUGCGACGGUGAGGAUAGCGUUAAGUGUGUGAUACAUGAUAUGAACCCUUUUUUAAGUGAGUCAAUGACUUAAUUGUUGUAAAGUGGUGCUUAAAAUAUGCGACUAAAUUGAACCUUCAAGUCAGUGCCUCCACCGA